RNAcentral lists this ribosomal RNA (403 nucleotides) under bacterium. RNAcentral describes it as "partial 16S ribosomal RNA". It matches the Rfam family "Bacterial small subunit ribosomal RNA", at positions 355 to 776 of the family's 1533-position model. The record is from RNAcentral.
UGGGGAAUAUUGCACAAUGGGGGAAACCCUGAUGCAGCGACGCCGCGUGAACGAAGAAGGUAUUCGUAUCGUAAAGUUCUGUCCUAUGGGAAGAUAAUGACAGUACUAUAGAAGAAAGCUCCGGCUAAAUACGUGCCAGCAGCCGCGGUAAUACGUAUGGAGCGAGCGUUGUCCGGAAUUAUUGGGCGUAAAGGGUACGCAGGCGGUUUAAUAAGUCGAAUGUUAAAGAUCGGGGCUCAACCCCGUAAAGCAUUGGAAACUGAUAAACUUGAGUAGUGGAGAGGAAAGUGGAAUUCCUAGUGUAGUGGUGAAAUACGUAGAUAUUAGGAGGAAUACCAGUAGCGAAGGCGACUUUCUAGACACAAACUGACGCUGAGGUACGAAAGCGUGGGGAGCAAACAGG